GGGUGUAAGUGAGUCGAGCUAGCUCGCGAGUUACUCGGGAUCGGCUCAAAAAUUACUCGAAAUCGACUCGAUAUUAGUCGAGUCGAGCUCGAGCUCGAGCUACUCGAUUAGGUAUCGAGCCCGAGUUCGAGUUUCUUGAUACUCGACUCGUUAGGCUCGCGAGCCUAAUCGAGCUCAAAUAAUUAUAUAUAUAAUAUAUUAUAUGUAAGCCCAAAAUUAAAUAUAUUUUUGAGCCCACAAAUUGGCCCAACUCCUAAGCCCAUUAGAACCCUACCCAACUUGUGAAUUUGAAUUACACACAUGACAAACCCUAAUAGCCUAACUCCCUCCCUAACUCAGCACGCAACAGCCACCCCAAUCUAUCAUCUCUCUCUCGGUUGCCGGCGACCGGCGACACGCACUCCGGCGCGACGGCACACUCCGACACGACGGCGACUCAUCUUUCCAGCGAAGAUCCGACGAUCUUAACAGCAGCAGGAGUGCAGCACGGUCCGGCGCGACAUUAGCAUCAUCUGCCACCACCGUUCAUCGGGCACCGACUGCUUCCCAGCUCGGCGCGACAACAGCAGCGACACCAACGACUCUCCCCUCCUCGGCGCGACAGCAGCAGUGCGGCACGAUCUGCCAUUUAAGUCUGUAAUCUGUUGAUGUGAUCAAGUAUACUACUGACAAAGAGUAUGAGAAGCAUUUGACUGAUCAUGUAAGUAAUGUGGAGUUCGAUUUUCAAAGUUAGUCUUGCUUUUAUCAUACAUAUCUAAUUAAUAACUUGAUUUUUUAUUUAGACUCUAUGUUGAUCACCUUAGGUUUGGGAUUAGACUCUAAUUUGAGUAUAUCUAGCUUGUCUUAAAAUCAUACGACAAUGAUUCUUAGUUGGAUUUGGAUUUUUUAGUCCAUAAGUUUCUUAGAUUUAUCUGCUGGUGGUUAUAUACACUUAUCCAUUUAAAAAGUAGUUAUUUGCUUUGUUUUUGUUUCAUGUAUCUGGAAGGGGUCUUCUUCAUAUGUCUUGUUAUUUGUUAAUUGAUGUUCUUUAUAUUUUUUUUUUGUAUGCAGCCCUUAACACGGUGUUCGACUGUUGGUAUUGGAGAGACGACUUCAUGUUGUAGGCUUGUGGCACUAUCUAUAAGAAGACGCUGCAAAUUUAUGUUUUUAUGUUGUAUUUCGUAUUUUCAUUCAAGACUUGUUACUUUUUUAUGUUAUAUUUCAUAUUUUCAUUCUAGACUUCUUAUAUGCAGCCUUUUUCAUGCUUUCGUAAUGGAAUGAUUUGUAAUGUUA
Salvia miltiorrhiza (redroot sage) is the source of this 1272-nucleotide long non-coding RNA. RefSeq lists it as uncharacterized. NCBI's taxonomy places the organism in Eukaryota, Viridiplantae, Streptophyta, Magnoliopsida, Lamiales, Lamiaceae. The record is from RefSeq and is a predicted model, not a curated record. The transcript has 2 exons.